This 339-nucleotide long non-coding RNA is filed under the name Vigna radiata. Its description in RNAcentral is "long non-coding RNA (VRAD_LNC009923)". The record is from RNAcentral. Lineage: Eukaryota; Viridiplantae; Streptophyta; Magnoliopsida; Fabales; Fabaceae.
AAAACAGACUCUAAGACCCCUAAUACGUUCGGACUCUAAUGUGACAAAGGUCACACCUAACGUGAAUACACAGAAGCAAUUCAAUAUUUAAAGUCUACUCCUAUGUCUAGCUAUGCUAAAAUUAAAAUAAAGCAAUCAAGAAAGGUUGCCAAGAAUGGAAAGAGCACCAAGGACUCUUCGAAACUUGGACUUUAUAAGAGGCCCUUAUAAAACCAAAAAAAAAUAAAAAAAAAAACUAACAGUGACAUUGGGCUGACACAAGCCCAUCAAAUACACAGCAAAAUAAAAAAAAUUACAAAAACAUUCAUUCCUAUGCUACGGCCCAAAUCUUGUUGCUAC